UCCGGCUUAUCACCGGCAGUUUCUUUAGAGUGCCCAACUAAAUGGUGGCAACUAAAGACGAGGGUUGCGCUCGUUGCGGGACUUAACCCAACAUCUCACGACACGAGCUGACGACAGCCAUGCAGCACCUGUGUUCCGAUUCCCCUUCGGGCACUCCCACCUUUCAGCAGGAUUCCGGACAUGUCAAGGGUAGGUAAGGUUGUUCGCGUUGCAUCGAAUUAAUCCACAUCAUCCACCGCUUGUGCGGGUCCCCGUCAAUUCCUUUGAGUUUUAAUCUUGCGACCGUACUCCCCAGGCGGUCAACUUCACGCGUUAGCUGCGGUACUGAGAAAUUGCUCCCCCAACACAUAGUUGACAUCGUUUAGGGCGUGGACUAC
Molecule: unclassified non-coding RNA, 377 nt
Filed under: uncultured Gammaproteobacteria bacterium
Lineage: Bacteria; Pseudomonadati; Pseudomonadota; Gammaproteobacteria
Description: contains 16S-23S intergenic spacer region
Source: RNAcentral